AGGGUUUGAUCCUGGCUCAGAACGAACGCUGGCGGCGUGGAUGAGGCAUGCAAGUCGAACGAGAACGCACCCUUCGGGGUGCUAGUACAGUGGCGGAAGGGUGAGUAAUAGAUGGACAAUCUACCCUGGAGUUGGGGAUAACCGCGAGAAAUCGCGGCUAAUACCGAAUGUGGAUUUGGAGUCGCAUGGCUCCGAGUCUAAAGGUGGGGAUCUUUCGGGACCUGCCGUUCCAGGAGGAGUUCAUCUCCUAUUAGCUUGUUGGUGAGGUAACGGCUCACCAAGGCGAUGAUGGGUACCCGGGCUGAGAGGCUGGUCGGGCACACUGGGACUGAGACACUGCCCAGACUCCUACGGGAGGCUGCAGUCGAGAAUCUUCCGCAAUGGGCGAAAGCCUGACGGAGCGACGCCGCGUGGACGAAGUAGGCCUUCGGGUCGUAAAGUCCUUUUAAGGGGUAUGAAAGUCAGGUCGGGUAAUACCCGGUCUGUUUGACGUCAACCCAAGAAAAAGCCACGGCUAAACUCGUGCCAGCAGCCGCGGUAAGACGAGUGUGGCAAGCGUUGUUCGGAAUCACUGGGCAUAAAGAGCUCGUAGGCGGUGAUAUAAGUGGAUUGUGAAGUCCCCCGGCCCAACCGGGGAAUUGCGGUCCAAACUGUAUCGCUAGGGAGCAGGAGGGGUGAGUGGAAUUCAGGGUGUAGCGGUAAAAUGCGUAGAUAUCCUGGAGAACGUCGGUGGCGAAGGCGACUCACUGGCCUGUAUCCGACGCUGAGGAGCGAAAGCUAGGGGAGCAAACGGGAUUAGAUACCCCGGUAGUCCUAGCCGUAAACGAUGGGCACUGCGUAGAGGGGAUCCGAUAUCUUCUCUGCGGAAGCUAAUGCGUUAAGUGCCCCGCCUGGGGAGUACGGUCGCAAGACUAAAACUCAAAGGAAUUGACGGGGGCUCACACAAGCGGUGGAGGAUGCGGUUUAAUUCGACACACGCGAAGAACCUUACCGAGGCUUGAAAUGCAGGGAUAACCCGACCGAAAGGUUGGGGAUUGCCUUCGGGUGUAACCUGUACAGGUGCUGCAUGGCUGUCGUCAGCUCGUGUCGUGAGAUGUUUGGUUAAGUCCAUUAACGAACGAAACCCUUAUUGCUAGUUGCCAGCGCGUUAUGGCGGGGACUCUAGCGAGACUGCCCCGGUUAACGGGGAGGAAGGUGGGGAUGACGUCAAGUCCUCAUGGCCCUUACGCCUCGGGCUACACGCGUCCUACAAUGGUCGGUACAAAGAGCUGCAAUAUCGCGAGAUGGAGCAAAUCUCAAAAGCCGGUCUUAGUUCGGAUUGCAGGCUGCAACUCGCCUGCAUGAAGGUGGAAUCGCUAGUAAUCGCGGGUCAGCUAUACCGCGGUGAAUAUGUUCCUGAGCCUUGUACACACCGCCCGUCAAGCCAACCGAGUUGAGCCUACCCGAAAUCACGGACCCAACCCUGCGAUUCGUCAAUGGGAGGGAUGCGCUGAAGGUGGGCUUGAUAAGGGGGACUAAGUC
RNAcentral lists this ribosomal RNA (1521 nucleotides) under metagenome. Its description in RNAcentral is "bacterial SSU rRNA". It matches the Rfam family "Bacterial small subunit ribosomal RNA". The record is from RNAcentral.